GCCUAGAUAGCUCAGUUGGUUAGAGAGUGGCACUGAUAACACCAACGUUGCAGGUUUGAUCCCCAUAUGGGGCA
Molecule: non-coding RNA, 74 nt
Organism: Podarcis lilfordi (Lilford's wall lizard)
Lineage: Eukaryota; Metazoa; Chordata; Lepidosauria; Squamata; Lacertidae
Source: the annotation of a GenBank genome assembly